Molecule: long non-coding RNA, 2623 nt
Organism: Syngnathus typhle (broad-nosed pipefish)
Lineage: Eukaryota; Metazoa; Chordata; Actinopteri; Syngnathiformes; Syngnathidae
Exons: 3
Source: RefSeq, a predicted model, not a curated record
CAGCGCAACCCAUUGCGUGCUUUCAUGUUGUAACAGGACACAUGGGAUGUCUCCAUUCUCCGGAGACCAUCUGAAGCCUGGCAGAUGGAUUACCUUGUCAGUGUGACCCUUUCACAAAUGGGAAUUAAGAUGCCCAUUGACAGGAAGAUCCACCUCCACAGUUGACACAAUUCCACCGCACUCCCCAACUGUAUGCAAAUGAGACCUUGUAUGGGCAAAGGGUGUGUGUAUUUCACGCUUUUAUUUUCCAUGACACACUUAUUGUUUUCCUAUGAUAUAGAUAUGUACAAGGGCUAUUAUUUCUUCUACCCAGAAUGUAACUUUUGGGACUGGAGAAAGCUGGAGCCCAUCCCAGCUGACUUUGGGAGAAAGGCAGACUACACCCUGGCGUGGGAAGUCAACCCACGCUGCGUGAGCGGAAGUCACGCAAAUUCCGUUAUACAAUCGGCGACUUACUUUAUUGUCUUAAAAUUCCGACGCUAAUAUCAUGCAGGAUAUUUUUUUUUUCCUUUUUAGUAUGUAUAUACAUGUACAAAUCUUAGCUCAGGGCUUUUUUUUUUCUGGGGAUUUUGCAUAUUGUACACAUGCUUGCAUAUUCCGCCUUCCUUGCAUUCCAAAAACAUGCAUGUUAGGUUAAUUAUAGACUCAAUGGAUGGUUGUUUGUUUAUAUGUGGCUUGCGACUUCUGGCGACCAGUCUGGGGUGAACUCCGCCUCGAGUCCAAAGUCAGCCUAGGAUAGGCUCUAGGACACCAGUCACCCAAAUGCGGGCAAGCAUAAUGGAAAAUGAAUGGGUGGGCGGAAUAUUCAUGUUUGGUGCGGCCCGAGCAUUCCUUCAACUGAAUGUGAAAGUUUAUGCAAAUUAAGAUUUUGGCAUCGUUGGAAGUAUGUGUUCCCUUAUGUUGCAAGUUACCGUAUUUUCCGGGCUAGAAGGCGCACCUAAAAACCUAAAAUUUUCUCAAAAGCCGACAGUGCGCCUUAUAGUCCGGUGCGCCUUAUAUAAGGACAAAGUUUUAAAACGGGCCAUUCAUUGAAGGUGGGCCUUAUAGUCCGGUGCGCCUUAUAGUCCGGAAAAUACGAUAUAUGAAUUAUGUUAUGCACUAAAAAGCACUGCAAUAUUGGCCCACUUGAAUUCAGCCCUUGAGGACAAGUUUGCCAAGGGCUAAAAAAUGCUAACUAUCUUCUGGAAGAAAAGUAGUAGUUCUGGAGGAGGUUCUGAAAAUCUACUAAAAAUCAUGCCGAGUAUUUCAUUAUCCAACAAUUUGAAGAGGAACAUCUGCAAAUUCCAAACAAGCUCAGGGUAACAUUUUCACAAAAUUGAAUCUAAAUGCAUAUUCUAAUCUACAUUUUCAUCUAUCCACACCUAAAAGUAGAAACACUGUUGGUCUCUCUUGCAGUUGGGUCAUGACCUCAUGGAUUAACAUGCUUUUUAGGAAGAGCAGCGGGUGAGCGACCGACUGGUCCAGCCGUAGAUAAGAAGCGAGGUGAAUGCUGACAACCUGUUUCUUCUUUGAAAACAACCAAAGCUGACCUACCGUAUGAGGUUUUGUUUCAUUUUUUGCAAGCCGCAGGGUACUUCCUAGUUCGUGGAGGAUGUUCAGACUGAUGGGGACCAUUGGGCUUCUGCAGUGGCUCAUGCGUGUGUCUCGUCCUAGUGCGAAAAUGACUGCUGUGAAGCGGAUGUGUCCAUAUUGCGCUCUUGGAAUGCUGGCUAAAAGAUAUUUCGGGCGGUCCUGGCAUAUGCCAUUUUGAGGUUAUGAAAAGUACGCAGUAAACUAGUUUGUGCAGUGGCAUAAGAAUGGCAUGUGGCAAAAGAAGGCACGCUCACCGCUGAAUUCCGUUUUUUUCCAUUUCAAUUGUUUUUCUUUAUAGUCUGUUCUAUAAAGCUAUUUACGACUAUAAUUCUGAUUAGCAGUGGUUCAUCGCCAUAGGAAUGUAAUUCCAACGUAAAUAGGGGAAACCCUUUAUUCCAUUAAUAAUUCUAGAUUCUACAUUAUCUCUGAUGGCAAACAAAUAUUGACUUUCAAAUCAAACAUGAUACUGUAUAUUGUUUUUAUUCACAGACAAUACAGACGAAUUAACAUUUGGUCAGAAAUUCACCUUUGUGUAUGUUACUUGUGUAAAUGUAAAUUACACUUUGGCACAAAAAGUAAAAAAAAUAAUGUAUUAAAAUUAUUUAAUCCCCCGCUUCAUACCGCAACUAUCUUGGCACAAUUAUAGCAACCAUGAGUAUUUUUGACAAAGGUUUUGUCGGCCCUGACCUUUCAACAUUGGAUGCUUUAAAGCAAAUGAAUGAAAAGCGAUCGGGAACCACGAAGCACACCCACAUUGUUCCGCCACCGCUCAAAGCUAGGUGUGACAACUUAAAGCACUCAAAUGCACUUACGGCUGUGUGUGAAACGUUCCAGUCAAAGCGGCUGCAGCAGGUCAGGCUAUCGACCUUUAAGGCAUAUCUGACCUUCUGGCAGCCGGCCAAUGAGGAUGCAUGGGACACCAACAUGGUGGUUUCGGGGGUUUGGGGGGGCUCACAUACAUUUUAAUUGAUAGGAGACCCUCAAACAACCUUCAAAACAAACAUCAGCUCCUCCCCCAAACAUCAGCUUUGGGUUUUGAGCGAUUUUUUUU